CUCUAGUCACAGGAUUCCCGAAAGGGGGCCGAAGCAGCUGUUUCUCCUUAGAGCUGAGGCAGGGCAGCCGUGUGGGGGUCUGGCGGCUGCUUCUGGCUGGGUCACCGUGAACCUGGGGGCGGAGGACCCGCGAGUGUGUCAGUCAGGGUCCAGACAGACCCAGAAACCACUGCGGUCACUUUAACAGAGAGACUGUAGUACCAAGAAGUGUUAAUUAGGUUCUGAAGCAUUGAGAAGGCAGAGAGAAGGCUGAGGUGUCACAGCUUCACUCAGUCACAACCAGGAAGCAGUGGGGCUUCCCUGGGGCUGGAGGCACACAGGGAAAAGGUUGCAGUUGUCAGAACAAGAAGCUUGGAGGACAGCCGCAGAGGUGAAACCAGACCUUUGGGGAAGGGGUGCCAGCUGGUGGUGCUGGUGUCCCUGAGGGGAAACCAUGAGGCUGGUUCUGCGAGUCCUGGAAAAACAUGCAAAUGGGACUCAACGGCUCCUCCUGGAGUGAACUGCUGCUGUCAGUCAGGCGGAAAAGCCUGGCUAGGGGACGGGAUGUUGGGCAGCUGGGUUUCGGUUCCGUCUCUCAGUUUUCUUCCUUCCAGGACCAAUCCUGAACAUUGCCGUUUCAAUCAAUGAGACUUUCAUGGAAAACGCCUAGUAUGCCCCCAGCCCUGGCGGCUGGGUGCCAGAGACACACAUACAAUGGGGAAACUGAGGUGCAGAGACCUUUGGGAACUUGCCUAAGAUUAUUAUUUGGCCAGUAAGCAGCAGAGCCUGAAUACGAACCGAAUCAGUGUGGCUCCACUACCCAGAUUCUUCACGAUGUCACCUCAUUGCCCCAAGUCCUAAAAAGAUGGACAUGGAAACAGAUCAUUUCAGCACAAGGUGGAGAAUGCCAUGUGGGGAGGGCCUCACAGAGGUGUGAUACACACUUACACACUGUUCGGCGUCGGGGCGUCAAGUUGAGAACCCCCACUGUCCCAUUUCCUCCCGCUGUCUCCUGUCCACACCUGAGUCUCCUCUCUGAAGGGCCUGCUGGGCCCUAUGGGGAGCAGAGAGAAACCCACGCCACCGCCUGGCCUUGAAGAGAGAAGACAAGACUCACAGGCAGAUACACCAAGUGGACCGUUGCAUCGCUUCCUCCUCUCCGAGCCUCAGUUUCCUCACCAGUGAAGUGGGCGGGCUGGACUGAGUCCUCAGGAGGGCCCUGCAGCUCUCCCGCCCUUACCUGGAAGGCUGUCUCCUCUUCUUCCAUCUCUCCUGCCCUGGCACCGCCUCCCCGGCUCCUCCGGCCCCACUCACCCCCGACUCAUCCGAAGGACGGCUUUUUAAGACUCAGCCCGGCUCCACCUGCUUCUCCCACGAAAGGCGACAUGCCAGAGGGCAGAGCAUGGCCUCGAAUGCUGCGCCAUUACUGUCAGCCGCGGACCGAGAGCCACUGCAGCCUGGUCCAACACCACUCCACCGUCUUUCAAACAGGAGUAAGGCCCACAGCGCCCGGCAGGGGUGGGUGUGAAGACGAGCUAAUGUGCUGCACACACAGUAGGUCCUUGUUAUGGACUGAAUUGUGUCCCCUCAGAUUCCUAUGUUGAAGCCCUAACCCCCAGUGCCAGAAUGUGACUGUAUCUGGAGAGAGGGCCUUUAAAGAGGGAAGUAAGUUAAAAUGAGGCCGUUAGGGUGGGCCCUGACACAGUGAAAAUGGUGUCCUGGGAAGAGGAGGCUAUCAGAACACAGAGAGAGCCACCAGGGCGCGUGCACAGAGGGACGGCCAUGUGAAGAGGCAGCAAGGGCACGGCUGUCUGCACUCCAAGGAGAGGGGGCCAGGAGAAAUCAGGCCUUCUGGCACCUCCAUUUUGGACCUCCAGCCUCCAGAGCUGUGAGAAGGUCAACUUGUUUGAACCACCCCGUCUGUGGUACUUUGUCAUGGCAGCCGGGGCAGACAAAUACAGUCCUUAAGAGGCGCCAAUCCUUUCGGCCUUGACUUUGUGUCAGCCUUGUUUGGUGUGUGAGAAGGCUUGUUCCUCGGCUUAUAAAUGACUGGAGGGCAAGUUCCAGGCAGCUGUGUCUUUCCCUGUGGGCCCGGAGGGCGCAGUUCGAUGCCAGGCACAGGGGGCACACACGCGGAGCCCUGUGCUCACUGCCGGCUCCGCCCACCUGCCGACAAGGGUGGGGACCCCGCUGCCAUCCACCGAGGUGCCUCUCAAACUUCAGUCAUGGAGUCAAUUUAGGGAGUCACACGAGCACCUUUCAAGAAUAACAACACAGAGCGGAAGAGAAAAGAUGCCCGGGUGCGUCUCAGGGAGUGAG
Molecule: long non-coding RNA, 2298 nt
Filed under: Equus caballus (horse)
Lineage: Eukaryota; Metazoa; Chordata; Mammalia; Perissodactyla; Equidae
Description: lncRNA (ENSECAG00000054066.1)
Source: RNAcentral